Molecule: ribosomal RNA, 230 nt
Filed under: uncultured Pseudomonadales bacterium
Lineage: Bacteria; Pseudomonadati; Pseudomonadota; Gammaproteobacteria; Pseudomonadales
Description: partial 16S ribosomal RNA
Rfam family: Bacterial small subunit ribosomal RNA
Source: RNAcentral
UGGCUGACGGGUGAGUAAUGCUUAGGAAUCUGCCUAGUAGUGGGGGAUAACUUGGGGAAACCCAAGCUAAUACCGCAUACGACCUACGGGUGAAAGGGGGCUUCUAGCUCUCGCUAUUAGAUGAGCCUAAGUCGGAUUAGCUGGUUGGUGGGGUAAAGGCCUACCAAGGCGACGAUCUGUAGCUGGUCUGAGAGGAUGAUCAGCCACACUGGGACUGAGACACGGCCCAG